UUGGGUUAAGUCCCGCAACGAGCGCAACCCGCGUCCUUAGUUGCCAGCAUUCAGUUGGGCACUCUGGGGAGACUGCCGGUGACAAGCCGGAGGAAGGUGCGGAUGACGUCAAGUCAGCAUGCCCCUUACGCCCUGGGCGUCACACGUGCUACAAUGGCCAGUACAAAGGGUUGCCAGCCAGCGAUGGUGAGCUAAUCCCGUAAAGCUGGUCUCAGUUCAGAUUGCUCUCUGCAACUCGAGAGCAUGAAGGCGGAAUCGCUAGUAAUCGCAGGUCAGCCAUACUGCGGUGAAUACGUUCCCGGGCCUUGUACACACCGCCCGUCACACCAUGGGAGCCGGCUAUGCCCGAAGUCGUUACUCUAACCGCAAGGAGGGGGGCGCCGAAGGCAGGGCUGGUGACUGGGGUGAAGUCGUAACAAGGUAGCCGUACUGGAAGGUGCGGCUGGAUCACCUCCUUU
Molecule: ribosomal RNA, 458 nt
Filed under: uncultured cyanobacterium
Lineage: Bacteria; Bacillati; Cyanobacteriota
Description: bacterial SSU rRNA
Rfam family: Bacterial small subunit ribosomal RNA
Source: RNAcentral